UGAUGACUGCCAAAAAUAGUCCUACUAUUUCCCAAAUUAAAAGCGUAUGCUCAAUAUAUUGAUACAAAAAUCAAAAGGUUACUUAACAGAAACUGCAAAUUGUUAGAUACACUUUGAUAAACAUAUGAGGAGACUGAAGGGAUUGGUCCAUUGUUCAACUGGCGGUUGUUUGCACAUUUGGGGUCACGUUACUUGUCGGCGGCCAGUUCCAACCAUCGAGGCCUGAACCACGGCAGCAAGCGGUUUGGUAGGCGUUUCUUAUACUCAUGUAGGGUGCAGAGUUCCAGGGCACAAUAGUGGAUGUUGCAGUUCAUGCACCUGUUGCAUGAACAGGUAAGUCCUGGCGCACACCUACUCUCCUCCUGGCCGAAACAGGUCUCAUUCACCUGCAGAUAGCAAAAGUGUCGCUCCACGCAGUUGUCCCUCUUCAGAGUGAAAAAACUUUUGGGACAUCGCGUGAUGUCGUCGCUGCCUUCUCGGCAUGGCCUUGUCUGAAGGUCCCUGGAAGGAAAGAUUAUCAAAUAAAUCAUUAAAUAGGAUUUCGAUGUUCGGCUAGCUUACAUGGCCCGGCAAUGGUGCCAGAUGACGAACAGCAGCACAGAUGCCUGCAACAGAAGUCUGACCAGACGGAACUGCACGUGGUUCUGCAUUUUCAGAGGUCUCCUCUCCGUUGCCGGACGAGCCAGGUCCUUUUAUACCCGCUGCUUCAGGCCCUCUAAUUAGAUGUAAUGUAAUGUAUGUAAAUGAUUUAGCAUAGAUUAAUUGAAUUUUCAAUCGCAUCAUGGUCAUCCAGUCGUGACCGCUGUGGGUCAAUGGCGCCUCCUUCCCGGAAUGGAAGGCCGCGAGACGCUUGCCUCUCAGACUGACAGCCGCAAUAAUUAGUACGGAUGUUGAGGUCAAGUGCAAUUAAUUCAAAUUAAAUCUCAUUUGUUAAUCAA
Molecule: long non-coding RNA, 938 nt
Organism: Drosophila pseudoobscura
Lineage: Eukaryota; Metazoa; Arthropoda; Insecta; Diptera; Drosophilidae
Exons: 2
Source: RefSeq, a predicted model, not a curated record